GCAAUUAUACAAGAACCUACAAGAAAUAAAAGGAAAACUUGGAUCAAAUCCAGAUGGAUCUAUCCAAUAGGUUAAUCAUUCAAUAGUUGGCCUGGUUCUAAUUCCUUGUUCGUAUUGGCCUAGAGCAGGGCUGUCCAACAAUGUCCCCGGAGAGUUACCCUCCUGUAGGUUUUAACAACAACAAUGUCCCCAGAGUUACCCUCCUGUAGGUUUUAACAACAACAAUGUCCCCAGAGAGUUACCCUCCUGUAGGUUUUAACAACAACAAUGUCCCCAGAGAGUUACCCUCCUGUAGGUUUUAACAACAACAAUGUCCCCAGAGAGUUACCCUCCUGUAGGUUAACAACAACCAUGUCCCCAGAGAGUUACCCUCCUGUAGGUUUUAACAACAACAAUGUCCCCAGAGUUACCCUCCUGUAGGUUUUAACAACAACAAUGUCCCCAGAGAGUUACCCUCCUGUAGGUUUUAACAACAACCAUGUCCCCAGAGUUACCCUCCUGUAGGUUUUAACAACAACAAUGUCCCCAGAGAGUUACCCUCCUGUAGGUUUUAACAACAACCAUGUCCCCAGAGUUACCCUCCUGUAGGUUUUAACAACAACAAUGUCCCCAGAGAGAUACCCUCCUGUAGGUUUUAACAACAACCAUGUCCCCAGAGUUACCCUCCUGUAGGUUUUAACAACAACAAUGUCCCCAGAGAGUUACCCUCCUGUAGGUUUUAACAACAACAAUGUCCCCAGAGUUACCCUCCUGUAGGUUUUAACAACAACAAUGUCCCCAGAGUUACCCUCCUGUAGGUUUUAACAACAACCAUGUCCCCAGAGUUACCCUCCUGUAGGUUUUAACAACAACCAUGUCCCCAGAGAGUUACCCUCCUGUAGGUUUUAACAACAACAAUGUCCCUGGAGAGUUACCCUCCUGUAGGUUUUAACAACAACCAUGUCCCCAGAGUUACCCUCCUGUAGGUUUUAACAACAACCAUGUCCCCAGAGAGUUACCCUCCUGUAGGUUUUAACAACAACAAUGUCCCCAGAGAGAUACCCUCCUGUAGGUUAACAACAACAAUGUCCCCAGAGUUACCCUCCUGUAGGUUUUAACAACAACAAUGUCCCCAGAGUUACCCUCCUGUAGGUUUUAACAACAACCAUGUCCCCAGAGUUACCCUCCUGUAGGUUUUAACAACAACCAUGUCCCCAGAGAGAUACCCUCCUGUAGGUUUUAACAACAACAAUGUCCCCAGAGUUACCCUCCUGUAGGUUUUAACAACAACAAUGUCCCCAGAGAGUUACAGUAAAACUGUAGCAGGUACAGCCUCAGUGUUCACAGUACAACUGUAGCAGGUACAGCCUCAGUGUUCACAGUACAACUGUAGCAGGUACAGCCUCAGUGUUCACAGUACAACUGUAGCAGGUACAGCCUCAGUGUUCACAGUACAACUGUAGCAGGUACAGCCUCAGUGUUCACAGUACAACUGUAGCAGGUACAGCCUCAGUGUUCACAGUACAACUGUAGCAGGUACAGCCUCAGUGUUCACAGUACAACUGUAGCAGGUACAGCCUCAGUGUUCACAGUACAACUGUAGCAGGUACAGCCUCAGUGUUCACAGUACAACUGUAGCAGGUACAGCCUCAGUGUUCACAGUACAACUGUAGCAGGUACAGCCUCAGUGUUCACAGUACAACUGUAGCAGGUACAGCCUCAGUGUUCACAGUACAACUGUAACUUCAAGCAGGUACAGCCUCAAUGUUCACAGUAAACAUUGAGCUCAGCAGACCUGAUAUUUGCUCAGUGCCGAAAAAAGGGAACAUUGUUUGUAACUCACCUUGAUUUUUCACCUGUGUUUUAUCCGUUUCUGUAUGAAAAUAUGUAGUGACUGGGAAUCGGAGUUGGUUUGACGUGACUGGGAAUCGGAGUUGGUUUAACGUGACUGGGAAUCGGAGUUGGUUUGACGUGACUGGGAAUCGGAGUUGGUUUGACGUGACUGGGAAUCGGAGUUGGUUUGACGUGACUGUGAAUCGGAGUUGGUUUGACGUGACUGUGAAUCGGAGUUGAUUUGACGUGACUGGGAAUCGGAGU
This is a long non-coding RNA of Oncorhynchus keta (chum salmon), 2076 nucleotides long. RefSeq lists it as uncharacterized. The transcript has 5 exons. Lineage: Eukaryota; Metazoa; Chordata; Actinopteri; Salmoniformes; Salmonidae. The record is from RefSeq and is a predicted model, not a curated record.